ACGCACGCUGGCGGCGUGCUUCACCCAUGCCAGUCGAACGUGAUUUUUGUGGAAAUUCUUUCGGGAAUGGAAAUGAAAUGAAAGUGGCGAACGGGUGAGUAACACGUGAGCAACCUACCUUACACAGGGGGAUAGCCGUUGGAAACGACGAUUAAUACCGCAUGAGACCACAGAAUCGCAUGAUAUAGGGGUCAAAGAUUUAUCGGUGUAAGAAGGGCUCGCGUCUGAUUAGCUAGUUGGAAGGGUAAAGGCCUACCAAGGCGACGAUCAGUAGCCGGUCUGAGAGGAUGAACGGCCACAUUGGAACUGAGACACGGUCCAAACUCCUACGGGAGGCAGCAGUGGGGAAUAUUGCACAAUGGGGGGAACCCUGAUGCAGCGACGCCGCGUGAGCGAAGAAGGUUUUCGAAUCGUAAAGCUCUGUCCUAUGAGAAGAUAAUGACGGUAUCAUAGGAGGAAGCCCCGGCUAAAUACGUG
RNAcentral lists this ribosomal RNA (477 nucleotides) under uncultured bacterium. RNAcentral's name for it is "partial 16S ribosomal RNA". It matches the Rfam family "Bacterial small subunit ribosomal RNA", at positions 29 to 507 of the family's 1533-position model. The record is from RNAcentral.